This 2911-nucleotide ribosomal RNA is filed under the name Pseudomonas aeruginosa. RNAcentral's name for it is "bacterial LSU rRNA". It matches the Rfam family "Bacterial large subunit ribosomal RNA". Lineage: Bacteria; Pseudomonadati; Pseudomonadota; Gammaproteobacteria; Pseudomonadales; Pseudomonadaceae. The record is from RNAcentral.
GUUAUAUGGUCAAGUGAAGAAGCGCAUACGGUGGAUGCCUUGGCAGUCAGAGGCGAUGAAAGACGUGGUAGCCUGCGAAAAGCUUCGGGGAGUCGGCAAACAGACUUUGAUCCGGAGAUCUCUGAAUGGGGGAACCCACCUAGGAUAACCUAGGUAUCUUGUACUGAAUCCAUAGGUGCAAGAGGCGAACCAGGGGAACUGAAACAUCUAAGUACCCUGAGGAAAAGAAAUCAACCGAGAUUCCCUUAGUAGUGGCGAGCGAACGGGGAUUAGCCCUUAAGCUUCAUUGAUUUUAGCGGAACGCUCUGGAAAGUGCGGCCAUAGUGGGUGAUAGCCCCGUACGCGAAAGGAUCUUUGAAGUGAAAUCGAGUAGGACGGAGCACGAGAAACUUUGUCUGAACAUGGGGGGACCAUCCUCCAAGGCUAAAUACUACUGACUGACCGAUAGUGAACCAGUACCGUGAGGGAAAGGCGAAAAGAACCCCGGAGAGGGGAGUGAAAUAGAACCUGAAACCGUAUGCGUACAAGCAGUGGGAGCCUACUUGUUAGGUGACUGCGUACCUUUUGUAUAAUGGGUCAGCGACUUAUAUUCAGUGGCAAGCUUAACCGUAUAGGGUAGGCGUAGCGAAAGCGAGUCUUAAUAGGGCGUUUAGUCGCUGGGUAUAGACCCGAAACCGGGCGAUCUAUCCAUGAGCAGGUUGAAGGUUAGGUAACACUGACUGGAGGACCGAACCCACUCCCGUUGAAAAGGUAGGGGAUGACUUGUGGAUCGGAGUGAAAGGCUAAUCAAGCUCGGAGAUAGCUGGUUCUCCUCGAAAGCUAUUUAGGUAGCGCCUCAUGUAUCACUCUGGGGGGUAGAGCACUGUUUCGGCUAGGGGGUCAUCCCGACUUACCAAACCGAUGCAAACUCCGAAUACCCAGAAGUGCCGAGCAUGGGAGACACACGGCGGGUGCUAACGUCCGUCGUGAAAAGGGAAACAACCCAGACCGCCAGCUAAGGUCCCAAAGUUGUGGUUAAGUGGUAAACGAUGUGGGAAGGCUUAGACAGCUAGGAGGUUGGCUUAGAAGCAGCCACCCUUUAAAGAAAGCGUAAUAGCUCACUAGUCGAGUCGGCCUGCGCGGAAGAUGUAACGGGGCUCAAACCACACACCGAAGCUGCGGGUGUCACGUAAGUGACGCGGUAGAGGAGCGUUCUGUAAGCCUGUGAAGGUGAGUUGAGAAGCUUGCUGGAGGUAUCAGAAGUGCGAAUGCUGACAUGAGUAACGACAAUGGGUGUGAAAAACACCCACGCCGAAAGACCAAGGGUUCCUGCGCAACGUUAAUCGACGCAGGGUUAGUCGGUUCCUAAGGCGAGGCUGAAAAGCGUAGUCGAUGGGAAACAGGUUAAUAUUCCUGUACUUCUGGUUACUGCGAUGGAGGGACGGAGAAGGCUAGGCCAGCUUGGCGUUGGUUGUCCAAGUUUAAGGUGGUAGGCUGAAAUCUUAGGUAAAUCCGGGGUUUCAAGGCCGAGAGCUGAUGACGAGUCGUCUUUUAGAUGACGAAGUGGUUGAUGCCAUGCUUCCAAGAAAAGCUUCUAAGCUUCAGGUAACCAGGAACCGUACCCCAAACCGACACAGGUGGUCGGGUAGAGAAUACCAAGGCGCUUGAGAGAACUCGGGUGAAGGAACUAGGCAAAAUGGCACCGUAACUUCGGGAGAAGGUGCGCCGGCUAGGGUGAAGGAUUUACUCCGUAAGCUCUGGCUGGUCGAAGAUACCAGGCCGCUGCGACUGUUUAUUAAAAACACAGCACUCUGCAAACACGAAAGUGGACGUAUAGGGUGUGACGCCUGCCCGGUGCCGGAAGGUUAAUUGAUGGGGUUAGCGCAAGCGAAGCUCUUGAUCGAAGCCCCGGUAAACGGCGGCCGUAACUAUAACGGUCCUAAGGUAGCGAAAUUCCUUGUCGGGUAAGUUCCGACCUGCACGAAUGGCGUAACGAUGGCGGCGCUGUCUCCACCCGAGACUCAGUGAAAUUGAAAUCGCUGUGAAGAUGCAGUGUAUCCGCGGCUAGACGGAAAGACCCCGUGAACCUUUACUGUAGCUUUGCACUGGACUUUGAGCCUGCUUGUGUAGGAUAGGUGGGAGGCUUUGAAGCGUGGACGCCAGUUCGCGUGGAGCCAUCCUUGAAAUACCACCCUGGCAUGCUUGAGGUUCUAACUCUGGUCCGUAAUCCGGAUCGAGGACAGUGUAUGGUGGGCAGUUUGACUGGGGCGGUCUCCUCCUAAAGAGUAACGGAGGAGUACGAAGGUGCGCUCAGACCGGUCGGAAAUCGGUCGCAGAGUAUAAAGGCAAAAGCGCGCUUGACUGCGAGACAGACACGUCGAGCAGGUACGAAAGUAGGUCUUAGUGAUCCGGUGGUUCUGUAUGGAAGGGCCAUCGCUCAACGGAUAAAAGGUACUCCGGGGAUAACAGGCUGAUACCGCCCAAGAGUUCAUAUCGACGGCGGUGUUUGGCACCUCGAUGUCGGCUCAUCACAUCCUGGGGCUGAAGCCGGUCCCAAGGGUAUGGCUGUUCGCCAUUUAAAGUGGUACGCGAGCUGGGUUUAGAACGUCGUGAGACAGUUCGGUCCCUAUCUGCCGUGGACGUUUGAGAUUUGAGAGGGGCUGCUCCUAGUACGAGAGGACCGGAGUGGACGAACCUCUGGUGUUCCGGUUGUCACGCCAGUGGCAUUGCCGGGUAGCUAUGUUCGGAAAAGAUAACCGCUGAAAGCAUCUAAGCGGGAAACUUGCCUCAAGAUGAGAUCUCACUGGAACUUGAUUCCCCUGAAGGGCCGUCGAAGACUACGACGUUGAUAGGCUGGGUGUGUAAGCGUUGUGAGGCGUUGAGCUAACCAGUACUAAUUGCCCGUGAGGCUUGACCAUAUAACACCCAAACA